GUGGGGAAUAUUGGGCAAUGGGCGAAAGCCUGACCCAGCAACGCCGCGUGAAGGAAGAAGGCCCUCGGGUUGUAAACUUCUUUUAAGAGGGACGAAAGAAAUGACGGUACCUCUUGAAUAAGCCACGGCUAACUACGUGCCAGCAGCCGCGGUAAUACGUAGGUGGCGAGCGUUAUCCGGAUUUACUGGGUGUAAAGGGCGUGUAGGCGGGGCUACAAGUCAGAUGUGAAAAUUAUGGGCUCAACCCAUAACCUGCAUUUGAAACUGUAGUUCUUGAGUGAUGGAGAGGCAGGCGGAAUUCCGUGUGUAGCGGUGAAAUGCGUAGAUAUACGGAGGAACACCAGUGGCGAAGGCGGCCUGCUGGACAUUAACUGACGCUGAGGCGCGAAAGCGUGGGGAGCAAACAGGAUUAGAAACCCUUGUAGUCC
This 428-nucleotide ribosomal RNA is filed under the name uncultured bacterium. Its description in RNAcentral is "partial 16S ribosomal RNA". It matches the Rfam family "Bacterial small subunit ribosomal RNA", at positions 354 to 796 of the family's 1533-position model. The record is from RNAcentral.